This 500-nucleotide ribosomal RNA is filed under the name uncultured Glomeromycotina. Its description in RNAcentral is "partial small subunit ribosomal RNA". It matches the Rfam family "Eukaryotic small subunit ribosomal RNA", at positions 591 to 1092 of the family's 1831-position model. Lineage: Eukaryota; Fungi; Glomeromycota. The record is from RNAcentral.
CCAAUAGCGUAUAUUAAAGUUGUUGCAGUUAAAAAGCUCGUAGUUGAACUUCAGGCCUGUCCAGACGGUCCGCCUUAAUUGGUGUGUACUGUCCUUGGGUGGGUCCUACCUUCUGGCGAAGCGGCAUGGCCUUAAUUGGUUGUGUCGGGGAACCAGGACUUUUACUGUGAAAAAAUUAGAGUGUUCAAAGCAGGCAAAUAUGCUCGAAUACAUUAGCAUGGAAUAAUGGAAUAGGACGAUGGUUCUAUUUUGUUGGUUCUAGGACCGUUGUAAUGAUUAAUAGGGAUAGUUGGGGGCAUUAGUAUUCAAUUGUCAGAGGUGAAAUUCUUGGAUUUAUUGAAGACUAACUACUGCGAAAGCAUUUGCCAAGGAUGUUUCCAUUAAUCAAGAACGAAAGUUAGGGGAUCGAAGACGAUCAGAUACCGUCGUAGUCUUAACCAUAAACUAUGCCGACUAGGAAUCGGGCGAUGUUGACAAAAUGACUCGCUCGGCACCUCAUG